This 439-nucleotide long non-coding RNA is filed under the name Gallus gallus (chicken). RNAcentral describes it as "long non-coding RNA NONGGAT003020". The record is from RNAcentral. Lineage: Eukaryota; Metazoa; Chordata; Aves; Galliformes; Phasianidae.
AAAUACGCACAGAAAAAAUACACAAAUCAAAAUGGGCUGCUCCUGCAAUAAUUUACAUUACAAAGUAGGCUGCUCCUGCUGUCAGUUUUAUUAUGAAUCGUAUGCAGAUGAAGAGGGGCAGUUCUAAGCUCAUGAAAAAAGUCACCAGUUUCAACAACGCAUCCUUGAGCUCCUGGUUCCUCACGCUACAGAUGACGGGGUUCGAUGCUGGAGGCACCACCGAGUGCAGAACUGCCAGUGCCAGGUCCAGGGAUGUGGAGGAGGUGCAGGGAGCUUCAGGUUGGCAAACAGGGCAGCGCUGACAAACAGGGAGACCGCAGCCAGACCAUGACAGCAAUGGAAGUCACGCCUUGGUGCACAACUGCCACAUCUCCAGAGCAGGCCAGGAGAUGUGCAGUGUCUUUCAGGUCUGGCUGUUUACCAGAGGGGGGCAACUGAG